GACGAACGCUGGCGGCGUGCUUAACACAUGCAAGUCGUACGGUAAGGCCCUUUCGGGGGUACACGAGUGGCGCACGGGUGAGUAACACGUGAGUAACCUGCCCACAACUUUGGGAUAACGCUAGGAAACUGGUGCUAAUACUGGAUAUGUGCUCCUGCUGCAUGGUGGGGGUUGGAUAGCUCCGGCGGUUGUGGAUGGACUCGCGGCCUAUCAGCUUGUUGGUGGGGUAGUGGCCUACCAAGGCGGCGACGGGUAGCCGGCCUGAGAGGGUGACCGGCCACAUUGGGACUGAGAUACGGCCCAGACUCCUACGGGAGGCAGCAGUGGGGAAUAUUGCACAAUGGGCGCAAGCCUGAUGCAGCAACGCCGCGUGCGGGAUGACGGCCUUCGGGUUGGAAACCGCUUUCAGCAGGGACGAAGCUUUUUGUGACGGUACCUGCAGAAGAAGCACCGGCUAACUACGUG
RNAcentral lists this ribosomal RNA (465 nucleotides) under uncultured bacterium. Its description in RNAcentral is "partial 16S ribosomal RNA". It matches the Rfam family "Bacterial small subunit ribosomal RNA", at positions 28 to 507 of the family's 1533-position model. The record is from RNAcentral.